This is a long non-coding RNA of Dreissena polymorpha, 199 nucleotides long. RefSeq lists it as uncharacterized. The record is from RefSeq and is a predicted model, not a curated record. The transcript is spliced from 3 exons. NCBI's taxonomy places the organism in Eukaryota, Metazoa, Mollusca, Bivalvia, Myida, Dreissenidae.
CUGCCAGAGCUAAGAGGUCUGCAACCAGAAAUGUCAAAAGAUAUGGAAAGAAGGUCAUGCUGCAGUGGAUUUGUUUACCUUGACAUUACUGAAGAUGUGGCUGUUUUCCUGCCUGCAUACAAGUUGAAUGGCUUAUGCUUGGAAGAUGAAAUCAACGUGCCAUCCAACAUCCAUUGCCACCGAGACACUGAAGAGAGAC